UCAAGUGAAGAAGCGCAUACGGUGGAUGCCUUGGCAGUCAGAGGCGAUGAAAGACGUGGUAGCCUGCGAUAAGCUUUGGGGAGUCGGCAAACAGACUGUGAUCCAGAGAUCUCUGAAUGGGGGAACCCACUCAGCAUAAGCUGAGUAUCUUGUACUGAAUACAUAGGUGCAAGAGGCGAACCAGGGGAACUGAAACAUCUAAGUACCCUGAGGAAAAGAAAUCAACCGAGAUUCCCUUAGUAGUGGCGAGCGAACGGGGACCAGCCCUUAAGUUGAUUUGAGAUUAGUGGAACGCUCUGGAAAGUGCGGCCAUAGUGGGUGAUAGCCCCGUACACGAAAAUCUCUUAUCAAUGAAAUCGAGUAGGACGGAGCACGAGAAACUUUGUCUGAAUAUGGGGGGACCAUCCUCCAAGGCUAAAUACUACUGACUGACCGAUAGUGAACCAGUACCGUGAGGGAAAGGCGAAAAGAACCCCGGAGAGGGGAGUGAAAUAGAACCUGAAACCGUAUGCGUACAAGCAGUGGGAGCCUACUUUGUUAGGUGACUGCGUACCUUUUGUAUAAUGGGUCAGCGACUUAUAUUCAGUGGCGAGCUUAACCGAAUAGGGGAGGCGUAGCGAAAGCGAGUCUUAAUAGGGCGUUUAGUCGCUGGGUAUAGACCCGAAACCGGGCGAUCUAUCCAUGGGCAGGUUGAAGGUUAGGUAACACUGACUGGAGGACCGAACCGACUACCGUUGAAAAGUUAGCGGAUGACCUGUGGAUCGGAGUGAAAGGCUAAUCAAGCUCGGAGAUAGCUGGUUCUCCUCGAAAGCUAUUUAGGUAGCGCCUCAUGUAUCACUGUAGGGGGUAGAGCACUGUUUCGGCUAGGGGGUCAUCCCGACUUACCAAACCGAUGCAAACUCCGAAUACCUACAAGUGCCGAGCAUGGGAGACACACGGCGGGUGCUAACGUCCGUCGUGAAAAGGGAAACAACCCAGACCGUCAGCUAAGGUCCCAAAGUCAUGGUUAAGUGGGAAACGAUGUGGGAAGGCUUAGACAGCUAGGAGGUUGGCUUAGAAGCAGCCACCCUUUAAAGAAAGCGUAAUAGCUCACUAGUCGAGUCGGCCUGCGCGGAAGAUGUAACGGGGCUCAAACCAUGCACCGAAGCUACGGGUAUCACCUUUUGGUGAUGCGGUAGAGGAGCGUUCUGUAAGCCUGUGAAGGUGAGUUGAGAAGCUUGCUGGAGGUAUCAGAAGUGCGAAUGCUGACAUGAGUAACGACAAUGCGAGUGAAAAACUCGCACGCCGAAAGACCAAGGUUUCCUGCGCAACGUUAAUCGACGCAGGGUUAGUCGGUCCCUAAGGCGAGGCUGAAAAGCGUAGUCGAUGGAAAACAGGUUAAUAUUCCUGUACUUCCAGUUAUUGCGAUGGAGGGACGGAGAAGGUUAGGCCAGCCUGGCGUUGGUUGUCCAGGUUUAAGGUGGUAGGCUGGAAUCUUAGGCAAAUCCGGGAUUUCAAGGCCGAGAGCUGAUGACGAGUUGCCUUUAGGCGACGAAGUGGUUGAUACCAUGCUUCCAAGAAAAGCUCCUAAGCUUCAGAUAACUGGGAACCGUACCCCAAACCGACACAGGUGGUUAGGUAGAGAAUACCAAGGCGCUUGAGAGAACUCGGGUGAAGGAACUAGGCAAAAUGGCACCGUAACUUCGGGAGAAGGUGCGCCGGCGAGGGUGAAGGACUUGCUCCGUAAGCUCAUGCCGGUCGAAGAUACCAGGCCGCUGCGACUGUUUAUUAAAAACACAGCACUCUGCAAACACGAAAGUGGACGUAUAGGGUGUGACGCCUGCCCGGUGCCGGAAGGUUAAUUGAUGGGGUUAGCGCAAGCGAAGCUCUUGAUCGAAGCCCCGGUAAACGGCGGCCGUAACUAUAACGGUCCUAAGGUAGCGAAAUUCCUUGUCGGGUAAGUUCCGACCUGCACGAAUGGCGUAACGAUGGCGGCGCUGUCUCCACCCGAGACUCAGUGAAAUUGAAAUCGCUGUGAAGAUGCAGUGUAUCCGCGGCUAGACGGAAAGACCCCGUGAACCUUUACUAUAGCUUUGCACUGGACUUUGAAUUUGCUUGUGUAGGAUAGGUGGGAGGCUUUGAAGUGGGGACGCCAGUUCUCAUGGAGCCAUCCUUGAAAUACCACCCUGGCAACUUUGAGGUUCUAACUCAGGUCCGUUAUCCGGAUCGAGGACAGUGUAUGGUGGGUAGUUUGACUGGGGCGGUCUCCUCCCAAAGAGUAACGGAGGAGUACGAAGGUGCGCUCAGACCGGUCGGAAAUCGGUCGUAGAGUAUAAAGGCAAAAGCGCGCUUGACUGCGAGACAAACACGUCGAGCAGGUACGAAAGUAGGUCUUAGUGAUCCGGUGGUUCUGAAUGGAAGGGCCAUCGCUCAACGGAUAAAAGGUACUCCGGGGAUAACAGGCUGAUACCGCCCAAGAGUUCAUAUCGACGGCGGUGUUUGGCACCUCGAUGUCGGCUCAUCACAUCCUGGGGC
RNAcentral lists this ribosomal RNA (2514 nucleotides) under Pseudomonas sp. Nvir. RNAcentral's name for it is "23S ribosomal RNA (partial)". It matches the Rfam family "Bacterial large subunit ribosomal RNA", at positions 3 to 2553 of the family's 2925-position model. Lineage: Bacteria; Pseudomonadati; Pseudomonadota; Gammaproteobacteria; Pseudomonadales; Pseudomonadaceae. The record is from RNAcentral.